RNAcentral lists this ribosomal RNA (497 nucleotides) under uncultured bacterium. RNAcentral's name for it is "partial 16S ribosomal RNA". It matches the Rfam family "Bacterial small subunit ribosomal RNA", at positions 28 to 507 of the family's 1533-position model. The record is from RNAcentral.
GAUGAACGCCGGCGGCGUGCCUAAUACAUGCAAGUCGAGCGAACGGACGAGAAGCUUGCUUCUCUGAUGUUAGCGGCGGACGGGUGAGUAACACGUGGAUAACCUACCUAUAAGACUGGGAUAACUUCGGGAAACCGUAGCUAAUACCGGAUAAUAUUUUGAACCGCAUGGUUCAAAAGUGAAAGACGGUCUUGCUGUCACUUAUAGAUGGAUCCGCGCUGCAUUAGCUAGUUGGUAAGGUAACGGCUUACCAAGGCAACGAUGCAUAGCCGACCUGAGAGGGUGAUCGGCCACACUGGAACUGAGACACGGUCCAGACUCCUACGGGAGGCAGCAGUAGGGAAUCUUCCGCAAUGGGCGAAAGCCUGACGGAGCAACGCCGCGUGAGUGAUGAAGGUCUUCGGAUCGUAAAACUCUGUUAUUAGGGAAGAACAUAUGUGUAAGUAACUGUGCACAUCUUGACGGUACCUAAUCAGAAAGCCACGGCUAACUACGUG